RNAcentral lists this long non-coding RNA (822 nucleotides) under Panax ginseng (ginseng). RNAcentral's name for it is "long non-coding RNA (PGIN_LNC008945)". The record is from RNAcentral. Lineage: Eukaryota; Viridiplantae; Streptophyta; Magnoliopsida; Apiales; Araliaceae.
CGGCAAAAAAAAUACAGAUGCCCGCCCGAACCGACCCAACGAAUUUCAUCCAUGUUAAAUAAGAAACCUGACAUCAAAAAGGGCAAAAUUUAGGGUUUUUCGUAAGAGCAGUGAUCUCAGACAUCAAAAGGCGACUAACUUGAAGUAGGUGCAUUUAGAGAUGAUGAGUAAAUAAAGGUGUUCCUAAUUGAUCUCCAAAAGAAACCCUAAUUAAAGGUGUUCCUAAUUCUCCAAGAUGGCAACAAAUGAUGAUGGUUGAAGCAAAUCACGGAAUACAUCGUCUCAAAUAGUACGAAGAAGAGGAGAGAGAAUGAAAAUUGAAGAAGGAACUACAACUAAUAGAUUUAGCUGAAACUGCAAAGGAAAUAGACAACACAACUAAUAGUUUCGUCUCCUCUUCUUGACUUUCUCCUUCUUGAUUUCUGUCGGUUUUCUCUUUUCUCUUGGUCUUGUGAUGGCAUGCUUGGUUCCUCUCGCGGAAGUCAUUAUCUCUGCUAUUAGCGUCGCACCUGCGUGGGCUUAUUGCUAAUGGGUCUUUAUUGGCAUGGUUGAAUACUUGAAUCUGAUAUAGCGAUUGACACUGUUUUGGAUGCUAAUGUAUCGGAUUGUUCUGACGAAUCUGAAAUGGAAUCUGAUUCUUCUCAAAACCCUUUCUCUGGGUGACUCCCAAAUCCAGACCAAUUUCAAAUCUGCCAACUCUUUCUUAGCAAGAUCGCUUAGAUCUGAAGUCAAACAGCAGCUUAUCAAAAUUCAUUUAAUAAUAAUUAAAAUAUAAUUGAAUAUAUUUUUCAUUUAUUUUUUUAUUUUUUGACUAACUUUUCU